UACGUAGGAGACGAGCGUUGUCCGGAGUUACUGGGCGUAAAGGGUGCGCAGGCGGCCUGGCGCGUCGCGAGUGAAAUCUCCUGGCUCAACUGGGAGGUGGUCGCGAGACGGCUGGCUUGAGGCUCGGUGAGGGGCGUGGAAUUCCGGGUGGAGCGGUGAAAUGCGUAGAGAUCCGGAGGAACACCGACGGCGUAGGCAGCGCCCUAGACGAGACCUGACGCUCAGGCACGAAAGCGCGGGGAGCGAACAGG
This 251-nucleotide ribosomal RNA is filed under the name uncultured bacterium. RNAcentral's name for it is "partial 16S ribosomal RNA". It matches the Rfam family "Bacterial small subunit ribosomal RNA", at positions 524 to 776 of the family's 1533-position model. The record is from RNAcentral.